Molecule: ribosomal RNA, 433 nt
Filed under: uncultured bacterium
Lineage: Bacteria
Description: partial 16S ribosomal RNA
Rfam family: Bacterial small subunit ribosomal RNA
Source: RNAcentral
AACGAACGCUGGCGGCAGGCCUAACACAUGCAAGUCGAGCGAGGACUUCGGUUCUAGCGGCGGACGGGUGAGUAACGCGUGGGAAUGUGCCCUUCUCUACGGAAUAGCCCUGGGAAACUGGGAGUAAUACCGUAUACGCCCUAUUGGGGAAAGAUUUAUCGGAGAAGGAUCAGCCCGCGUUGGAUUAGGUAGUUGGUGGGGUAAUGGCCUACCAAGCCGACGAUCCAUAGCUGGUUUGAGAGGAUGAUCAGCCACACUGGGACUGAGACACGGCCCAGACUCCUACGGGAGGCAGCCGUGGGGAAUCUUAUACAAUGGGGGCAACCCUGAUCUAGCCAUGCCGCGUGAGUGAUGAAGGCCUUAGGGUUGUAAAGCUCUUUCAGCUGGGAAGAUAAUGACGGUACCAGCAGAAGAAGCCCCGGCUAACUCCGUG